Molecule: ribosomal RNA, 253 nt
Filed under: uncultured bacterium
Lineage: Bacteria
Description: partial 16S ribosomal RNA
Rfam family: Bacterial small subunit ribosomal RNA
Source: RNAcentral
UACGAAGGGGGCUAGCGUUGUUCGGAAUUACUGGGCGUAAAGCGCGCGCAGGCGGCUAUCCAAGUCAGUGGUGAAAGCCCGGAGCUCAACUCCGGAACUGCCAUUGAAACUGUUUAGCUUGAGGACGAGAGAGGUGAGUGGAAUUCCCAGUGUAGAGGUGAAAUGCGUAGAUAUCGGGAGGAACACCUGUGGCGAAAGCGGCGCACUGGACCAUAACUGACGCUGAUGCGCGAAAGCUAGGGGAGCAAACAGG